This 786-nucleotide long non-coding RNA is filed under the name Monodelphis domestica (gray short-tailed opossum). Its description in RNAcentral is "lncRNA (ENSMODG00000045929.1)". The record is from RNAcentral. Lineage: Eukaryota; Metazoa; Chordata; Mammalia; Didelphimorphia; Didelphidae.
AGUCUGUGUAGUCUGAGGACCCCGGGGAAAACCCUUAAAAAGUGUAAAAACAAAAUUAAAUGCAAAGAGUAUGGAUUAAAUGCAAAGAGGAUGGAGCUCAAUCCUAGAAAGAAUAAAACCAUUGUAUUUGCUUUUUCUAGGGCUCUCCCCCUCCCCCAGGAAAAAAGUCCUCAAAGCAGAGUGCGCGUUUGAAUCCCUCCCAUCUAUUUUCUUUAAAGAAAAAAAAAAAAAAAGAAAAAAAAAAAAAAAAAAAAAAAAAAAAAAAAAAAAAAAAAAAAAAAGAAAAGGGGAAUAGAUUUUGAAGUAAAGGGGAAGUAUGUUUCCCUGAUCUAAUUUUACCUUCACUCUCAGGGAUAGGGGAGCCAAAAUGGCAGCCAAACUAAGGUACUUGUCAGAAUGUAGCACAGGGAAGACCUGUGACUAACCUAUGUUAAACAGUCACUACCUCUAACCUCAAACAAGUCCUCUGUCUUGGUGCAGAUCUCAUUAAUCACACAAGGAUUGUUAGUCUCCUUGACCUUGUGCUUCUUGGCACUGUACAAUGGCUCUUUUGUGAUCCCUUCUCCUGGAAUCAGACACAAUUAUUAAUCAUAGUCCCACAAUAUUUAUCAAUCAAUAUAAGGUUUCCAUAGUCUAAAGCUUUUGGGUAUGUAUUGAUAUUAGGGCUAAUGGAUAUUUUAAAAGAUUAAUAUUGAUUGUAUGUACUUUAAGUAUGAAAAAUAAGAAAGGGAAAAAAUCAAAUAUUCUAUUGAAAAUAAAAAGAAAAGCAAUAAUAAAAAAAAUUCA